UGCUGCUGCGUGCUGUCUCGAAGCAAGCAAUCCAGCCGUUGCGUUCAGUCAUUUGGGGGUCUAAUGGCUGUCAAUAGGUGGCAGUGAAUAAGGGGCUGUACGAUGUCCACCAGGUAGCGCGAGUGUCUUCAGGGACGCUUAUCGGCCAUUUUGAUCCAAGACGCAGCGGAAAUGGGUUGUUGGUUGUGACGUUUCUCACGAUGAAAAUUAAAAGGUGAUUUAGCACGUAGAAACCAAUUUGCCAAAUCAUUCAACUCAGACUUGGAAGUGCCUGUACAAGUACAUUUCCGAAAUGGCGUGCCUCGUGUGUCUCGCUGCCCGUUCUUAGGCGUACGUCUCAUCCCAUGCAACAGCAAAAAGUAUAACAAACACUUCUUCAACACUGUUGGUUACCUUGUUGCAGCCAAAUGGUGAAAGGUGUGACGAAGACAGAUUGAACCAUUGUAUGCAGCAUGUGGUUGCAGUGUAAUCCAGAAGUUGCUGUGCUGUUGUAGCUGAGCUGUUCCAUCUGGGUUCCUGACUUGAAAAUUUUUGUGUUGUUGUUUUCAUCCAUGCCAUGAAAUUUCUCUGUGUUAACUGUGUGCUGACUUAAAAGUUUGAUGUGUUGUCUUUCGAGUUUUCAUUCAAUCAUGCAGUAUACGACUGAGGCAACCUGAUCAAUAUCAGGUUUGACACAGUCGAGAA
Molecule: long non-coding RNA, 684 nt
Organism: Daphnia pulex (common water flea)
Lineage: Eukaryota; Metazoa; Arthropoda; Branchiopoda; Diplostraca; Daphniidae
Exons: 3
Source: RefSeq, a predicted model, not a curated record